UGCCAGGCCCCCUCCAUUAGCAAGCCUGCGGACAAUGCUGUCCAACUGAUGUGGCAUCCACUGCGCUUGUGCACACGGUUAAGUUAAAGAGCUGUAAGGUCAACUGUAGCAUGUCGGCAUCAGCUGUGAAACCCUGGUAUGGGCACUAAGUGAAAGAGGAAAAAGCCUGAGCUGGUCAGUAUUUUGCAGCUUGCUUGAACUCUGGUAUUAAUAAAUUUAAAAGAAAUGCAUGGGAUCCCAAAUCACAGAGCAGGAGAUGUUUUUGUUUUGUUUUGUUUGUUUUUUUUUAGGGAUACAACCCACUGCAGUGCAUAUGAAUAUUGAAAGGAAAAGAAACGAGUGGGGAAAAAAAUACAUUCAUACUUUAAAGCCCCAGUAAUUUUGAAGUCCAGCCUAUGGUUAUAUUGUGAGAUUGAAAGCACAAAAGAAAUGGCAGUUCUGGUGUUUUUCCAAGGCUUUUCUUUGUAAAACAAACUCUUCAGACGUGGCAGGCAGUUCUGAUUUCAGUAGGAUUUGUGUGUGUGGCUGCUGCGUGCUUAAGGACCUUCAGUAAGCUGGAGUGAAGGAUAAGAUUGCAAAAGGACUGUUAAAAGGGGAAAAAAUUGAGCAGCUGUUUGGCAGUAAGGAAGCUUGGAGGCAAGAUUGAACUUAAAUAAUACCUUUGGUUUGGAAAUAAAUGUUUAAGCGAAUCA
This is a long non-coding RNA of Neopsephotus bourkii (Bourke's parrot), 692 nucleotides long. RefSeq lists it as uncharacterized. The record is from RefSeq and is a predicted model, not a curated record. The transcript has 2 exons. Lineage: Eukaryota; Metazoa; Chordata; Aves; Psittaciformes; Psittacidae.